CCUACGGGGCGCUGCAGUGGGGAAUAUUGGACAAUGGGCGAAAGCCUGAUCCAGCCAUGCCGCGUGUGUGAAGAAGGCCUUCGGGUUGUAAAGCACUUUCAGUGGGGAAGAAAGCCUUGGGGCUAAUACCCUCGAGGAAGGACAUCACCCACAGAAGAAGCACCGGCUAACUCCGUGCCAGCAGCCGCGGUAAUACGGAGGGUGCGAGCGUUAAUCGGAAUUACUGGGCGUAAAGCGCGCGUAGGCGGUCUGAUAAGCCGGUUGUGAAAGCCCCGGGCUCAACCUGGGAACGGCAUCCGGAACUGUCAGGCUAGAGUGCAGGAGAGGAAGGUAGAAUUCCCGGUGUAGCGGUGAAAUGCGUAGAGAUCGGGAGGAAUACCAGUGGCGAAGGCGGUCUUCUGGACUGACACUGACGCUGAGGUGCGAAAGCGUGGGUAGCAAACAGGAUUAGAUACCCUAGUAGUC
RNAcentral lists this ribosomal RNA (465 nucleotides) under Vreelandella stevensii. Its description in RNAcentral is "partial 16S ribosomal RNA". It matches the Rfam family "Bacterial small subunit ribosomal RNA", at positions 338 to 795 of the family's 1533-position model. The record is from RNAcentral. Lineage: Bacteria; Pseudomonadati; Pseudomonadota; Gammaproteobacteria; Oceanospirillales; Halomonadaceae.